RNAcentral lists this ribosomal RNA (501 nucleotides) under uncultured bacterium. RNAcentral describes it as "partial 16S ribosomal RNA". It matches the Rfam family "Bacterial small subunit ribosomal RNA", at positions 30 to 523 of the family's 1533-position model. The record is from RNAcentral.
AUUGAACGCUGGCGGCAGGCUUAACACAUGCAAGUCGAGCGGAGAUGAGGUGCUUGCACCUUAUCUUAGCGGCGGACGGGUGAGUAAUGCUUAGGAAUCUGCCUAUUAGUGGGGGACAACAUUCCGAAAGGAAUGCUAAUACCGCAUACGUCCUACGGGAGAAAGCAGGGGAUCUUCGGACCUUGCGCUAAUAGAUGAGCCUAAGUCGGAUUAGCUAGUUGGCGGGGUAAAGGCCUACCAAGGCGACGAUCUGUAGCGGGUCUGAGAGGAUGAUCCGCCACACUGGGACUGAGACACGGCCCAGACUCCUACGGGAGGCAGCAGUGGGGAAUAUUGGACAAUGGGGGGAACCCUGAUCCAGCCAUGCCGCGUGUGUGAAGAAGGCCUUAUGGUUGUAAAGCACUUUAAGCGAGGAGGAGGCUACUGAGACUAAUACUCUUGGAUAGUGGACGUUACUCGCAGAAUAAGCACCGGCUAACUCUGUGCCAGCAGCCGCAGUAA